Molecule: transfer RNA, 84 nt
Filed under: Pseudomonadota bacterium
Lineage: Bacteria; Pseudomonadati; Pseudomonadota
Also listed under: 1 other name
Description: tRNA-Leu
Rfam family: tRNA
About the family: Transfer RNA (tRNA) molecules are approximately 80 nucleotides in length. Their secondary structure includes four short double-helical elements and three loops (D, anti-codon, and T loops).
Source: RNAcentral
GCGGCUGUGGCGGAAUUGGCAGACGCGCUAGAUUCAGGUUCUAGUGGGCUCACCCCCGUGGAGGUUCGACUCCUCUCAGCCGCA